Molecule: non-coding RNA, 9035 nt
Organism: Microcebus murinus (gray mouse lemur)
Lineage: Eukaryota; Metazoa; Chordata; Mammalia; Primates; Cheirogaleidae
Source: RefSeq, a predicted model, not a curated record
GGCAGUGCGGUUACCCUCUCCUCCGCUGGAGAGUGGGGACGCCCCUCCCCCGCCCCCAGGCGUCCCUGAGGUCGGCAGCUCAGUCUGCAAGGCGAUGAAGCGGGCUCUGGGUUCUACCCUGGCCAGGCCAAGCUUAGUCUGUGGAAGCGGCAGCAGGGAGCACCGGCCGGGGCUGAGGGAAGGGGGACCCCAAACCGCACAGGCGUUUUCCCUCCCUCCCUAUUCGUGACUUAUCCCUGCCCCAGUUGCCCGUCUUCGGUAGGACUAUCUGCCCGGCCUCUCUCAGCUGCCAACCUUGCCCGAAAUCUAGACCCCAGACCUGUUAUCUUCAGUGAGAGAGUGUUCUGCUAUUAACAGAAGUGGAAGUCCCAUAUGCCUUAACUGAAUGGUGCUAGGCACUUGAUUACUCAGUUCCUGAGAAGUCUGUGAAAUGGUUACCUUAUCCCCAAUUUGCAGAUGAAGAAACUGAGCUUCAGAGAGUGAACAAAAGAAUGACCAACAUGAACAAGCUACUGUAUCAAAUUUAUGGGUAAAUCCUCUCCAAAUCUUCAAUAGUAUUGUGCUACUGUUUUAAGGAAAUGAGCAUCUCUGGAUGUUUUUCUCCUACGCCAAAAUCAGAAAACUUCUCAUAAGAGAUAAGAUGUAUAAUAGAAAGAAGGUAGACAGAACAUAGAAGAGCUGGUUAUAGGACACUUGAGUUUUAGCUGGCCACAUAGCCACACAGCUAAGAUUACAUGUCCCAGCCUCCUGUGGAGUUGGUGAUUAAGCUCUGGCCAAUGGGAUGUAAGUGAAAUGACAUGUAAAAGGGAAGGAAAAAGCCAGAAUGAAUGGGACAGGGAUGGAAGAAAACCUUCUAAAUUGGCAAGCCAAUCCCAAAUUUAACAUGGAAUGCAAGAGACUUACAACAGCCAAAACAAUCUUGAAAAAGAAGACCAGAGUUCAUGGAUUCAUACUUUCCAAUUUUAAACCUUAUUACAAAAUUAUGUUAAUAAAUACAGCAUGGCACUCGCAAAAUGAUAAACUUAUGGAUCAGUGAAAUAGAUUGUGAGUCCAGAAAUAAACAUUAACAUUUAUGGUCAGUUGAUUUUUGACACAAGGACCAUGACAAUUCACUAGGAAAAGAAUAUUCUUUCAACAAAUGAUGUUGGGACAAUUGGAUAACCAUAUACAAAGGAAUGAAUUCAAAUCCUUAUCUCACACUAUAUACAAAAAGCAACUUCAAGUAGAUCAUAUAGCUACAUGUAAGAGCUAAAACUAUAACACUGUUAGACAAAAAUAUAGGAGUGAAUGCAGGAUUUGGGGUUAGGCAAUACAAUCUUAAAUCCAAUACCAAAAACAUAAGCAAUAAAAAGGAGAUCAAUAAAUCGGAGUUCAUCAGAGUUAAAAACUUUUGUGCUUCAAAUGACAUCAUCAAGAGUGUGAAAAGGAAAUCCACAGAUUGUGAGAAAAUACUUGAAAAUCAUACAACUCAUAAGGCAUAUGUAUCCAAAAUAUAUAAUGAACCCUCACAAAAUAAUAAAAAGACAACUCAAUUAUGAAAACGGGCAAAAGCUUUGAAUUGACAUUCUCUAAAGAAGGUUUGUGAAUUAGUAAUAGGCACAGAUAAAGACAUUGAACAUCAUUAGUCAUUUGGGAAAGGUAAAUUAAAAUGAUAAUGAGAUAUCACUUCUGCCCCAGAAGAGUGGUUAUAAUAAAAAAGGCAGACAAUAACAAGUGUUAGCAUGGAUGUGGAGGGAUUGGAAACCUAAUUCAUUGCUGGUGGGAAUGUAAAACUGGUAGCCACUUUGGAAAAAAGUGUUUAGUAGUUUCUGAAAAUAUUAACAUAGAGUUGCCAUAUGACCUAGGAAUGUCACAACUAAUUAUAUACCCAAGAUAAUAAAAAUACAUGCCCACACAGCAACUUGUACAUGGAGCUUCAUAGUAGCAUUAUUCAUAAUAGCUAAAACACAAAACAAUCAAAAUUAUUAUUAAUAGGUAAAUGGAUAAACAAACUAAUAGAACAUAAUUUAUCAAUAAAAAGGAAUGAAGUAUUAAUAGAUGCUAUGACAUUGGUAAACCUCAGAAAUAUUAUGCUAAAUAAAAGAAUAAGUCACAAAACAUUAUCUAUUGUAUAAUCCCAUUUAUAUGAAAUGUCCAUAAUAAGCAAACUACAGGGACAGAAAGUAGACUAGUCAUUGCCUAGGCUGAAAGUGGAAGUAGGGAGAAUGGGAAAUGAUUUCUAAUGGGUAAAGUUUUCUUUCUGAGAUUAUGAAAAUGUUCUAUAAUAGAGUUAGAUUAUGGCAAUAGCUGAACUCUGUAAAUAUACUGGAAUCCACUGAAUUCUUACCUUAAAAAAUAUAUAUAUGAGCUCAUAAUAAUACCUAAAACACACAAUGAGUUACCAGUGGUAAUUUCCAAGGUACAAGUUUACCUUAUUCAGAAAAUUUAUAGAACAAAAUAAUAAGUUACAUUUGUCAAAUUGCCAAUUUAGUCUAUGCAAUAUUUAUUUGUAAUGUUGUUUCAAUGAAAUGUAACCUGAAAAUAAUUUAUACGAAGUCUAAAAUAUUAAUAAGUUGUAGAUUAUAACUUUAACAGUGUUCCUGACAGACAAUACUGCUAAAAAUCAAGUCUAUAAAAUUUGUUUUAUGUAUUAUAUGGAUUCUAAUAUUGCAAAUAAUAUUUACAUUUUUUCCUUCAAAAGUUUAUAUGUUUCCUUCUCUGAACUUUUCUCUUUGGUUUCUUUGCUUUAUACUUCAUGGAUUCAAUUGCUCUCAGGAAAUAGUAGGGCUCCUGAAAGAAUUUUCAGUGUUAAUUAGAAACCAAUUUAUUCACAUAUAUAUGCACACAAAAAACUCAUGAAACAGUUCCUUAUCCUUAUAAUAAGCAUUAAUUUUAAACCUGAAGUUUUCAGCAAGAUGCUUUCUCAUGGCCAUGAAAAUCAAUCAACACCAGCAAAAUACCAUAUGUCAUUAACAAAGAUGUAUGUUAGAUGGAAGCAAAAGUAAAUUUCAAUUUAGAGUAGAAGUGGAGAGAACUAGAAGUGGAUAAAAGAAUAAUCUGGAUGAUUGAUUUUGAAUAAACAUGAAUAAGAAUUAGAACUCAACUUUCCACUCUUAAAUUUUACACAGAGAUAUAAUAGCUUUAGCAAUGUAAUAUCUUUUUGUAGGACAGUAUUAUCUAUCUGCAUAUAUGCACAUGCACACACACACACACACACACACACACACACACACACACACACACACACACAUUCAAUUGUAUUUCGGUCCCUAUUUGAAUUCCAGAAAUAAUCCUAAAAUCUGCAUCCGGAGGCUUCAAAAACUCAGUUUCCGUUUUACUGUUACUGGAAAAUGGCACGAGGGAAAUACUGGCAAGAAGUAAAACUGGUCAGUGCAUCUGCCAUCCCCAGGUGCUGUCUUGGUGGGACUCGUCAGUGCUCUCCGCCUUGUGCAUUGAUGCUGAAGACUCCCCCUGACCAGAUCCUAGUCAUUUGCCAGGUUCUCCCAAUCAUGAGGAGUUACACUGGCAACUGAUCCUCAUGCUCACCCUGCUGUCAAAGCAUUCCAGUUUUUAAUCACUACAUGACUUGUCAGAUUGAAUAUGAACCACAUGCCUACAAUACAACCUCCCUAAUAAUGAGAAUGCCAAAAAAAGGAAAACUUUGGACAUGUCUUCUGUCACUGUUCACAUUCUGAAACUAAGUUUGAGAAAGCUCUUCAACUGAAAAUUAUGUUUGCACAUUGAGAAACUAAAUUGUUAUUCCCUUAAUUUACUCAACAAACCAACUGUCAAAAGCAUGUGCUUACAAAUGAAUGUUUCUAAGAUUCUGGCUGACUUUUAUAGAGUAUAUUUCCACUGUAGAAAAGAAGCCAUCUCCCAUGAUUAAGGAAAAAAGCAGCCAAACUUUACUUCCAGAUCUGUACACCACACCUGUCACUUCCUUACCUACUGGGAGACAUUAUCUUCUUGGCUAUAUUUAGUUGGAAAUGCUAAAGCAUAUUUUAGGAAUUCUUUUUAAACUCAAAAUGAUGAACUUUAUUUUCUUGAGAAUGGUACUUGAAUCACAGUCUCAGUUAUUUUUCCCCAGAGUUUGAGAUUUGAAAUUGCUACAGCAUUGAGAAUUAAUAUAAAAAUAGAAGGCAAAAUUUUAUUAAUUAAAAAUUGCAAUUAAUUGACUUACACUUAUGUGUAGAUAUUAAUCCUAUGUUUUGAAUGAGUUUAGAAAAGAUACACCAAGUGCUAUUGUUUACUGGAUGGUGGCAAGGAUUUUCUGUACAUGAAAAUGAUGUCAGCUAAAAGACUCAUCGGGCUCUUUGUGGGAAACAUCCAAUAUGUACGUUGAUAACAGCAGAUAGCCAGUUCUAAUUCUAUAGCAUGUCUUCUGCAUUUUACUGAAAUCAGGUAAAAGAUAAAAUCGUCUUGUAGCCCCCAUGUGGAGUGAAUAUUUUGGCAAUAAGACAUUCCUAUAGUUGGCUUAAUUCAUAAAAUUAAUUAACUUCUAUCCCAGUUUCUUGAAGUAUUUUUUUUCAGUAUAUACAUUUGGGUGUUUUUUAGGUGUUUCUGUUUUGAAUGCACCAUGCAGCAAAAAGUUUUGAUAAAUUAGUCUAUGAUUCUGUUCUUAAAACAACACCUCAUCAAGAACUUUAUUAUGGGAAGUGUGAGCUAAAUAGUCAAAUCUUGAAAAAAGCACUAAAUGUAUAAGAUUCUUAUUACCAGAUCUUUUGCAUUGUAGCUAAGUGUCACAAUCCCUCAAACUGGAAAACAUUUUAAUGAUUUAUGAAAUUGAGACUUCAUUAGUCUUCUUUGGAAUUGUCAAGCAUGUCUCAUCUGAAUAUAAAAGCUCAGCUCUUCACUUGUCUUUUAAAAAGAAAACCAAGGAACAAAUUCUACCUACCACUUCCUUCUACUUGCUGUAAGCCAGUCCUGAACUAAGUAAUAUCUUGAAAAGGAAAUUAAAGCACAUCUUUUUAAAUACCAAAAUUCAUUUACAACUUUAAAGUUUAUUGAGUAGAGCUAUUUACAAAACCUUUACCUUGUUUACCUUGCAGGACUAUGACUGCCUGUCAAUAGACAUAGGCUGCUUGGGGGUAUCACCAUGUCUUAUUAUUCUUUUUGUCCACAAUAGGAGUAUACAGUUCUUGGUUAUGAAUGAAGUAGGUAUAAACUAAAUGAACUUUAAAUUAAACUUCUUGCAAAGAUAGGAACUAAUUCCACCCCUAAAAAUUAUUAUCCAUAACAACUUUUUAAUUACAUGUAUUGAGAGAAUAUCCCUUGUUUUUUUCUUUAUUAUUUAUUUGUUCUAUUAUUUUUAUUUAUUCUUUAUUAUUUCUUUUUCUUUGUUAUAAACACUGGAAUUGAAUUCUCUAUAACAUUCAGACCCCUAAAUUCUCUACCUAUUACAGCAGUGCAAAUCUUACAAAUUUGCAGAGCUUCAUCAACUUACCAAACUUCAUCAACUUACCAGGAAAUAUUCAUGCCUAGUGAACUAAAAACCUAGAAUAGUUCCCACUUAAACUGGACACUGAAAUUGAAACCCUUAAAACUAGAUUUUUUUUUUCUUUUUAACUAAACUCAAAGUACACACCAGUAAAAAGGAAGAGCUUGAUAGGAUUGUAUUGAAAUUCCUAAGUAUGGUUGGGAAAGGCCAUUAAAAUAAUAUUUGAAUUAAUUGGCUAUUUUUCUCCACUUGGUAAUAAAACAAAUAAACUGAUUGUGAUAUCACAUUAUUCAUCCACAUCAGUGGUUACAUGUUAACCUCAACCAUCUUUAUGUUUACUAUAAAAAUUCAUAUACUAGGUUUGGAGGUUAUGUAAUGAAGGAACUAAAUUGCGUGCAUUGUGUGUACUUUUCACUUUCUUGCCUUUUAGCAUUGUUUUCCUAUUUACCUAGAAGAGUUUUUUGUUUUGUCCAAACCUUUUUAUAUACUUUAGAAGCAAAGUUCUUCCCUUUGAGAGUGCUGACUUUGUGCAUGGUGCUGACUAAGGAGACCCUGAACCCUAUUACCUGACAUCCUCUGCAAAUCGCACCAUUGAAAAUGAUUCACAUAGUUAUAAUAAUGUUUACAUUUAUUUACACAUAGUUUUUAAAACUUUUGAAAUUUAAAUUAAAUUAUAAGUAAGAGGAAUAUUUAUGAAAUGUCAAAGUAUACUAGUCAGGAAUGGAAGGUCUUCUUUUCUCAUUCUUUUGUGUAAUGCCAUUUGAUACAUUUUCAAAACAAUUUUACUUUUAUUUCUAGAUAUUUGGAGAGUACCAUAAGCACUUCAUAGUUUAUACUCCAUUGAGGAGAAAUAUUUAUAAUGUAUUGGUAAAGCUGCCAGUUUUAGCAACAAAUAAUAUAGGACACCAGUCAGAUUUGUGUUACAGAUAAAUAGUGGAAUUUUAAAACUUACUUGAGACAUACUUUCCUAAAACAUUAUUCAUUGUUUACCUGAAAUGCACAUUUCACUUGGUGUCCAGUAUUAAAUCUAGCAAUCCUAUUGUUGAUCUUGGUGAAGAAUCUAUUAAAAAUUUAUAGUAAAAAUACUUAUAGAAAUAAGAAAGGUACAACAAUAGAAACACUAUGAUGAAUUAUUAUCACAUAUGUCAGAUAUCCCGAAGGCCAGAUAAUAGCUGUCAAAAGUAGAAUACACAGAGUAAAAGAACAAUCUAGGGUGAUUUAAUCUGUGUCUCAUUGUCAUAAAAGCGUUCCUUCAUUGACUACCCAUGACAUUUCAGGAACUAGCUGCACUAGUUACAAGUGUACAUACAGCAGCGAACUUUGAAGCUGGAUGGGAGACACAGCCAUGGAAGAGACAAAAUUAUUAGUGAAAAGAAGAGAGGCCUCGAGCAGAAACUUAAAGACCCCUGCAUGUAAAGGCUACCAGACGAAGACCAGCCUAUUAAGAGACUGAGAAAGGGCAUCAAAUAAAGGAGGAAGCAUUCUGCACUGACCAUUCCUUGCCAGAGUCCCUUGGAAAAAUGGCUGACUUCAAGACAAGGGAAGAUAGAUGACCUUGAAGUACGUCUGGUGCCAGAAAGAAGUACUGAAAAAUUGAUGUGGAAAUGGCACAAGGAUCCAGGAGACAACUUGAAGAAACUUCCAUGAGCACAAACAAUAGUAAUAUAUUAUAACUCAUUAAAUAAAAUUAGAUUUCAUGAUCCCCUAUUGAUAAUAAUAAUAAUAGAUAGACAAAAAGAGAAAGGAAAUUUGUUCCUUGUAGGGAAGUGCUGAAUAAUAAAUAUAGAAAGAUGAUGGAGUUAAAAAUCACCAUUUUGCAAUUAGCAUUGUAAAAAUUGAUUAAGGAAAGAAAUGGAUGGUAUACCUAGGGUGACGAGGGAGGUUAAAUGAGGUUCAGAAUAUUUACAUAAUAUUAAGAAUUGCCCCACACAUUAUUUAUUACAGUUGAUCCUCAUUAUUCACAGAUUCCAUAUUUGCAAAUUCACUUCCUUGCUAAAAUUUAUUUGUAACCCCCCAAACAAUAUUCAUGGAUGUUGAAGUUACUUAUGAAUAUGCAGGAGCAGUGAAAGAUUUGAAUUGCCUAAUGUACAUGUUCUCAGCUGAGGUGAAACAAGGCAGCACUCCAUCUUCUUAUUUCAGCUCUUCUAUAACAAAGCAUUUCUGCAAAGUAUAUUUAGUGUCAGGUUUUUGAGUUUUUGUGCUUUUUGUUGGUUAUUUUGCUGUUUAAAGUGGCCCCAAAGUGUAGUGAUGAACUCUCUUUCUAGUGUUCCAAAGUAUGAGAAGGUGUGAUGUGCCUUACAGACAUAGUACAUGUCUUAGAUAAGCUUCCUGCAGGGAUGAGUUACAAUGCUGUUGGCUGUGUGUUUAAUGUUAAUGAAUUGACUAUAUUAUUAAUAAAUAAGGUGUCUUUAAACAAAAACAGACAUAAAUCAAAGUUAUGUACUGAUUGGCUGACAAAAAUGUUGUGAUUAGAAGCUUACCAGAACCUGACCCAGAUUUAGCAAUGUUUCAGUAUUUGGUCAUUUAGUAUUCACAGCAACUUUAUAGAACAUAACUACCAUGAAUAAUGGAACUUGACAAUAAUUACAAAGGGAGAAAUAAUAAAUACACCUUGGAGAAAUUGGACAAAGCUUUAACCAAGUGAUCCAAAUUAAUAUCACUAAUAAGGGGCAAAUGAACAUCAUGGUCCACCAGAUUUGAUAUCCUGAAAAGCAUAUGACAGUCUUUAUGCAACAUUCAAGCCCAUAAUGUUUAAAAGUUGAAUUCAAUAUUGAGGAAAUGCCAGAGAACUCAAAUUGAAGGACAUUAUAUAAAACAAUUGUCUCAUAUUCUUCAAAAUAUCAACCACAUGAAAAUCAAAGAAAGACAGAGGAACUAGUCCAUAUUAAAUAGACAAAAAAAAAGAGACAUACAAUUAAAUGUAUUGUGCAAUUCUAUACCAGGAAAUCCUGUCCUGGAAAAAAUUCUAUAAAAAAUUUUUUUAAAUGGAUUAUGUUAUAUAUAAUAGUUUAAUAUUAACACUAAAUUUCAUUAAUUUGAUAAUAAUACCAUAGAUAUGUAAGAGCUAUGCUUAUUCUUAGAAAAUAGAUAUUGAAGUUUCAUGGGAUAAGAAGGAAUGAUGUGCAUAACCUGAGCUCAAAAGAUUCAGACAAAAUGAGCAUUUCUAUGUCUAUAUCUAUCUGUCUAACUAUCUGUCUGUCUAGAAAAGGAGAAAGAAAGAGAGGGCAUGUGCAUGCAAAUGUGGUCUAGGUAAAGGAAAAUAUUGAUACUAUUCCUGAAACUUUUAUGUAUUUGGAAUUACUUCAAAAUAUAAAGUUUAAAAAAAGAGGCAGAAGAAACUCAGCAGGGUGUGCUUGUCAGUGGAGGCCAGAGAAGAGGAAGUGGUCAGCCAUAUCAAAUGCUAUAGAGGUAAGUUGAAUUUAGCAACAAGUUGUUAGUGAUUCCAGUUUCAUUGGAUUUGCUGAGACAGAAGUCUGUUUGUCAAGGGUGCAAAUGAAGUGGUGUGUGGAAUUACAGACACUAAUUUUAGGAAUUUUAGCUGUAAAAGAAAGGAGAGAAAUAUGGUAGAAGCUGGAGUGAGAAAGGAAAUUAUUUUAUUUGUUUGUUUUUCAGUUGGAGA